RNAcentral lists this long non-coding RNA (282 nucleotides) under Gossypium barbadense (sea-island cotton). Its description in RNAcentral is "long non-coding RNA (GBAR_LNC002388)". The record is from RNAcentral. Lineage: Eukaryota; Viridiplantae; Streptophyta; Magnoliopsida; Malvales; Malvaceae.
GAGUCAGCAGACUUAGAGCCUGUUGAGAAUGUUAGUCCAAUAAGUCAACAUUGCGAAUUUGACUUUAAUCUUAAUGUUGGAUGGACAGACCAAUUAGAAUGCAAAGAGAUAUCGAAGAUACCCAAAAAUCCUAAUAAUAGUGGGAGUUCGUAAACAACUCUACCCCCAGUCCUCGUCUACAAAUACAUCCAGAGGUGAUAAUAAGCACAGAGGCAAAUGUCAGAGAAAUGACCAAUAAUGGUGAAGAUUCUAAUCUAUACGUUGAAUAUUUUAGUGACCCCG